This 712-nucleotide ribosomal RNA is filed under the name uncultured bacterium. RNAcentral describes it as "bacterial SSU rRNA". It matches the Rfam family "Bacterial small subunit ribosomal RNA", at positions 65 to 774 of the family's 1533-position model. The record is from RNAcentral.
AGCGGGUAGAUGAGCUUGCUCAUUUAUGCCGGCGACCGGCGCACGGGUGAGUAACACGUAUGCAACCUGCCCGUCUCAGGGGGAUAAUCGUCGGAAACGGCGUCUAAUACCCCGUAUGAAGCUGGACGGCAUCGUCUGGUUUUGAAAGAAUAUCGGAGACGGAUGGGCAUGCGGCGCAUUAGCUAGUUGGCGGGGUAACGGCCCACCAAGGCGACGAUGCGUAGGGGUUCUGAGAGGAAGGUCCCCCACACUGGUACUGAGACACGGACCAGACUCCUACGGGAGGCAGCAGUGAGGAAUAUUGGUCAAUGGGCGAGAGCCUGAACCAGCCAAGUCGCGUGAGGGAGUACUGCCCUAUGGGUUGUAAACCUCUUUUGUCGGGGAGCAAAAGCCGGACGUGUCCGUCUGUGAGAGUACCCGAAGAAAAAGCAUCGGCUAACUCCGUGCCAGCAGCCGCGGUAAUACGGAGGAUGCGAGCGUUAUCCGGAUUUAUUGGGUUUAAAGGGUGCGCAGGCGGAUUUUUAAGUCAGCGGUCAAAUCGUGGGGCUCAACCCCAUCCAGCCGUUGAAACUGGGGAUCUAGAGUGUGCGAGAGGUAUGCGGAAUGCGUGGUGUAGCGGUGAAAUGCAUAGAUAUCACGCAGAACCCCGAUUGCGAAGGCAGCAUACCGGUGCACAACUGACGCUCAGGCACGAAAGCGUGGGUAUCGAACA